AACCACUAGGCUACCUGCUGGUUACUAGUCCAACGCUCUAACCACUAGGCUACCUGCUGGUUACUAGUCCAACGCUCUAACCACUAGGCUACCUGCUGGUUACUAGUCCAACGCUCUAACCACUAGGCUACCUGCUGGUUACUAGUCCAACGCUCUAACCACUAGGCAACCUGCUGGUUACUAGUCCAACGCUCUAACCACUAGGCAACCUGCUGGUUACUAGUCCAACGCUCUAACCACUAGGCUACCCUGCUGGUUACUAGUCCAACGCUCUAACCACUAGGCUACCUGCUGGUUACUAGUCCAACGCUCUAACCACUAGGCUUCCUGCCGCCUACUACACUCUAACCACUAGGCUACCCUGCCGCCUCUACACUCUAACCACUAGGCUACCCUGCCGCUAGAUAUAUUAUAUUCUGCUGAUGAUGAUCCAUCUUGAAAUAUCCUCUUGCACUUUUAAUAGUCAGUAUACAAGGAUUAUUUCUCAUUCCUUUUUACAACUCCAUCCUUCCAACAUGCUGGGGUAUGUUAAGAGGGCAGUCCUGGAAAUGUAGCCACCUGACGAGCCACAGUCAAGCACCCAAAGGUGGCUUACAUUGUAGCUAGCUACACGAUCCCGAGCCACAGUCAAGCACCCAAAGGUGGCUUACAUUGUAGCUAGCUACACGAUCCCGAGCCACAGUCAAGCACCCAAAGGUGGCUUACAUUGUAGCUAGCUACACGAUCCCGAGCCACAGUCAAGCACCCAAAGGUGGCUUACAUUGUAGCUAGCUACACGAUCCCGAGCCACAGUCAAGCACCCAAGGUGGCUUACAUUGUAGCUAGCUACACGAUCCCGAGCCACAGUCAAGCACCCAAGGUGGCUUACAUUGUAGCUAGCUACACGAUCCCGAGCCACAGUCAAGCACCCAAAGGUGGCUUACAUUGUAGCUAGCUACACGAUCCUGCAACGUCUCGAACAGUCUUACCUGACAAAGAUUCCAGUGGGAUGGAAACGUUGUGGUUGAGUGUCUUUAUACACCACAUGGGAGUAUAAUACACUGAA
Molecule: long non-coding RNA, 1045 nt
Organism: Oncorhynchus keta (chum salmon)
Lineage: Eukaryota; Metazoa; Chordata; Actinopteri; Salmoniformes; Salmonidae
Exons: 3
Source: RefSeq, a predicted model, not a curated record